UACGAAGGGGGCGAGCGUUGUUCGGAUUUACUGGGCGUAGAGGGUGCGUAGGCGGUUGGAUAAGCCCUCCGUGAAAUCUCCAGGCUUAACCUGGAAAGUGCAGAGGGGACUGUUCAGCUAGAGGAUGGGAGAGGAGCGCGGAAUUCCCGGUGUAGCGGUGAAAUGCGUAGAGAUCGGGAGGAAGGCCGGUGGCGAAGGCGGCGCUCUGGAACAUUUCUGACGCUGAGGCUCGAAAGCGUGGGGAGCAAACAGG
Molecule: ribosomal RNA, 253 nt
Filed under: uncultured bacterium
Lineage: Bacteria
Description: partial 16S ribosomal RNA
Rfam family: Bacterial small subunit ribosomal RNA
Source: RNAcentral